UACGGCCGCAAGGUUAAAACUCAAAUGAAUUGACGGGGGCCCGCACAAGCGGUGGAGCAUGUGGUUUAAUUCGAUGCAACGCGAAGAACCUUACCUACUCUUGACAUCCAGAGAACUUAGCAGAGAUGCUUUGGUGCCUUCGGGAACUCUGAGACAGGUGCUGCAUGGCUGUCGUCAGCUCGUGUUGUGAAAUGUUGGGUUAAGUCCCGCAACGAGCGCAACCCUUAUCCUUUGUUGCCAGCGAUUCGGUCGGGAACUCAAAGGAGACUGCCAGUGAUAAACUGGAGGAAGGUGGGGAUGACGUCAAGUCAUCAUGGCCCUUACGAGUAGGGCUACACACGUGCUACAAUGGCAUAUACAAAGAGAAGCGACCUCGCGAGAGCAAGCGGACCUCAUAAAGUAUGUCGUAGUCCGGAUUGGAGUCUGCAACUCGACUCCAUGAAGUCGGAAUCGCUAGUAAUCGUGGAUCAGAAUGCCACGGUGAAUACGUUCCCGGGCCUUGUACACACCGCCCGUCACACCAUGGGAGUGGGUUGCAAAAGAAGUAGGUAGCUUAACCUUCGGGAGGGCGCUUACCACUUUGUGAUUCAUGACUGGGGUGAAGUCGUAACAAGGUAACCGUAGGGGAACCUGCGGUUG
This 639-nucleotide ribosomal RNA is filed under the name Citrobacter freundii. Its description in RNAcentral is "bacterial SSU rRNA". It matches the Rfam family "Bacterial small subunit ribosomal RNA", at positions 881 to 1520 of the family's 1533-position model. The record is from RNAcentral. Lineage: Bacteria; Pseudomonadati; Pseudomonadota; Gammaproteobacteria; Enterobacterales; Enterobacteriaceae.